UCGUACCUACGGGAGGCAGCAGUAGGGAAUUUUCGUCAAUGGGCGCAAGCCUGAACGAGCAAUGCCGCGUGAACGAGGAAGGUCUUCGGAUCGUAAAGUUCUGUUGAAGGGGAAAAAGAGCGGAGAGAGGAAAUGAACUCCGAUUGAUAUUACCCUUCGAGGAAGUCACGGCUAACUACGUGCCAGCAGCCGCGGUAAUACGUGGGGAGCGAGCGUUAUCCGGAUUUAUUGGGUGUAAAGGGUGCGUAGGCGGCUUCUUAAGUCUGUAGUCUAAGCCCGGAGCUUAACUCCGGUUCGCUACAGAA
Molecule: ribosomal RNA, 305 nt
Filed under: uncultured bacterium
Lineage: Bacteria
Description: bacterial SSU rRNA
Rfam family: Bacterial small subunit ribosomal RNA
Source: RNAcentral